AUACUCACGGCUCAUAUAUUAAAACCUGGAUCAAUACAGAGAAGAUUAGUGUGACCUUCCUGAAAGGAUGACAUGCAAAUUCAUGAAGCGUUCCUUACUUUU
Molecule: small nuclear RNA, 102 nt
Filed under: Paramormyrops kingsleyae
Lineage: Eukaryota; Metazoa; Chordata; Actinopteri; Osteoglossiformes; Mormyridae
Source: RNAcentral